CAGGCGUAGUCGAUGGACAACGGGUUGAUAUUCCCGACCCGGGGUUGAACGCGCCCCUGGUGAAUCAGUGAUGCUAAGCGCCCUGAAGCCGCCUUCGAACCUUCGGUUCUCCGGUGUGUGGAUGCGCGUGAACCGAUCUGGUAGUAGCCAAGCGAUGGGGUGACGCAGGAAGGUAGCUGAGCCAGUCAGUGGUAAUACUGGUGUAAGCGUGUAGGGCGUGACCUAGGCAAAUCCGGGUCGCAUUCAGCCUGAGACGUGAUGCGUAGCCGAUUGAGGCGAAUUCAGUGAUCCUAUGCUGCCGAGAAAAGCCUCUAGCGAGCUUUCACACGGCCCGUACCCCAAACCGACACAGGUGGUCAGGUAGAGAAUACUAAGGCGAUCGAGAUAACUGUGGUUAAGGAACUCGGCAAAAUGCCCCCGUAACUUCGGGAGAAGGGGGGCCUCGUCUGGUGACGGAACUUGCUUCCUGAGCUGGGUGGGGCCGCAGAGACCAGAGAGAAGCGACUGUUUACUAAAAACACAGGUCCGUGCGAAGUCGUAAGACGAUGUAUACGGACUGACGCCUGCCCGGUGCUGGAAGGUUAAGAGGACCGGUUAGCCAGUAAUGGCGAAGCUGAGAAUUUAAGCCCCAGUAAACGGCGGUGGUAACUAUAACCAUCCUAAGGUAGCGAAAUUCCUUGUCGGGUAAGUUCCGACCUGCACGAAUGGCGUAACGACUUCUCUGCUGUCUCAACCACAGACUCGGCGAAAUUGCAUUACGAGUAAAGAUGCUCGUUACGCGCGGCAGGACGAAAAGACCCCGGGACCUUCACUAUAGCUUGGUAUUGGUGUUCGGUUCGGUUUGUGUAGGAUAGGUGGGAGACUGUGAAGCGGGCACGCCAGUGUUCGUGGAGUCGUUGUUGAAAUACCACUCUGAUCGUAUUGGACAUCUAACCUCGGACCAUGAUCUGGUUCAGGGACAGUGCCUGGUGGGUAGUUUAACUGGGGCGGUUGCCUCCCAAAAUGUAACGGAGGCGCCCAAAGGUUCCCUCAGCCUGGUUGGCAAUCAGGUGUCGAGUGCAAGUGCACAAGGGAGCUUGACUGUGAGACUGACAGGUCGAGCAGGGACGAAAGUCGGGACUAGUGAUCCGGCACCGGCAAGUGGAAGCGGUGUCGCUCAACGGAUAAAAGGUACCCCGGGGAUAACAGGCUGAUCUUCCCCAAGAGUCCAUAUCGACGGGAUGGUUUGGCACCUCGAUGUCGGCUCGUCGCAUCCUGGGGCUGGAGUAGGUCCCAAGGGUUGGGCUGUUCGCCCAUUAAAGCGGCACGCGAGCUGGGUUUAGAACGUCGUGAGACAGUUCGGUCUCUAUCCGCCGCGCGCGUUAGAAACUUGAGGAAGGCUGUCCCUAGUACGAGAGGACCGGGACGGACGAACCUCUGGUGUGCCAGUUGUUCCGCCAGGAGCACUGCUGGUUAGCUACGUUCGGAAGGGAUAACCGCUGAAAGCAUCUAAGCGGGAAGCCUGUUCCAAGAUGAGGUUUCUCACCCCCUCGAGGGGGUAAGGCCCCCGGCAGACCACCGGGUUGAUAGGCCAGAACUGGAAGUCCGGUAACGGAUGGAGGUGACUGGUACUAAUAGGCCGAGGACUUACCACAA
Molecule: ribosomal RNA, 1635 nt
Filed under: Rhodococcus (subgen. Prescottella) equi
Lineage: Bacteria; Bacillati; Actinomycetota; Actinomycetes; Mycobacteriales; Nocardiaceae
Description: Prescottella equi partial 23S ribosomal RNA
Rfam family: Bacterial large subunit ribosomal RNA
Source: RNAcentral